Molecule: long non-coding RNA, 806 nt
Organism: Girardinichthys multiradiatus
Lineage: Eukaryota; Metazoa; Chordata; Actinopteri; Cyprinodontiformes; Goodeidae
Exons: 4
Source: RefSeq, a predicted model, not a curated record
CAAACACCUGCUGACAGGAACAAAUGUCCUCUCUGCAGUUGUGAUUGUUUGCACCAUGGAUGGUUGGUGUUGAACGUGCUGUCUUUUUGACUGCAGAAGGGUUGUGGGUUUGUGGGAGAACCAUGUGCACCACUAUCAUGGUUCUCUCCACUUUGGCCUUUUUGCUGCGCCAACACCUCUUCAACCGAGGCAAAACCUUCCCAAAAAAUCUGGAUGGAAAAGAGGCACCUGCAGUGCAGAGCCAAGAUCGUAAUAAAUGAAACUUCGUCACCAGAGCUGGGUUUUAAAUGCAGGCUGUCCUCAGGUCUGUGGGAAUAUAACAGAAAGCUUCUCUACAACAAUGCUCUGUGCCCUAAAAGUGGAACCAUCUGAGCCACAGCAGCUUUCACGCCCUGCCAACAAGCUGAUCUGGAGAGAAGACAAUCAAUCUCCUCUAUUAAACCUUCUUUUUAAAAUCAGGGAAGGGAAAGCCAUCUUGGUCGUGCGGACAUCCUUACUUAACUCUCCUAAGAAGUACAAUGCAGAAAUAAACAAGUGUUUGUGUGAUGCCCAUUCACGGGCUGCUGCGUCUUCAUUUGAAGGGAAAUCCACUCCCCCGCUCUCUGCAGCUCUAAAGCAUGAUGCUUGGAUUGUUAUGUUGUGUCACUGGAGAUUUAUCCCUUUACAUUGUUUCUCAUGCACAUCCAAUAAUGACAAAAUUGUGUACAGUAACAAUUGAGUUCCUAUGCAGUUAAUGCUGUUUUCCAUUUCUUUUGAGCUGAGUCACCUUCCAUCUAUUUUCGGCCUCAAUAAACAAAUGACUCCAA